Molecule: long non-coding RNA, 1811 nt
Filed under: Lingula anatina
Lineage: Eukaryota; Metazoa; Brachiopoda; Lingulata; Lingulida; Lingulidae
Description: uncharacterized LOC106158682
Source: RNAcentral
ACCUAGGUCAGUAAAAGAUGUCGAAGAAAGCCAUGUGUCUCAUUGCCACAAUUUCUACGAAAUGGUCGGAAAUAUGGGACUAAAAUUGGCAGCGAUCUGUUAUGGAAUGAAUUUGCCAGGAAACGGGUGGUGAGAGAUUUGCUCCAGCAGUAAAGGCGUCUUCCUUCUCAACCAAUGUAAGGAUAUUUUGGCAGUGACUCAACCGUGCACGAGGAGAUAGAAUCCGUUCUCCAUCAAUGACGUCAGACUCGUGUUCCACAGCGGCUGCAUCCAUGUCAAGAUUACAUGUAGCAUGUCAGAGUUCGUCUGCUAGUAAAUUUGCAGAGUUGAAACUUAAUAUGAAGUGUAAUGUUUGCUUUUGGUUGUGAAUCGACUGUAGUUAUUUUCAAACUAUCACCAAGUAGUGUUCAGGAAGAGUACUUUGCUACACGUACAUGUAGUAGUGGUUUAUUUCCGUGUAGGUGUGGCAACAUAAACAACAAGCGCAUGUAGGACGAUCGGUUUUCUUUUUGUUCGUAACAUAUUUGUGAGGGCAAAUCUGCAAUUUGGCAUUUCUCCGUGAACAAUUAUUUAUUUAAAAUUGAAUUCUAGUAUUUAUUUUGGUGAUGUUAACUUUGGAAAGAAAGACAACGUACCAACGGUGCAAAAUGCAUUUAUGGAAGUCUUUGGAAGUUAUAGUGUGUGUUCAGUUGAAGAAAAAAAGAACGAGAUGUGCAUCCACCGAAAAUUAAUAAAUCGCUGUAAUUUAAAUAAUUAUUUUUCAGAAAUUGCAGCACUAUCAAACUGGCAGAAUGCGUCAUUAGUAUUGCAGAGCUGUCCACACGCAUUGAAACAAUCUUUCUUUAGUUUAAAUGUCCGAUUGUGACGCAUAUAAAAUAAACUUCACGUUUCAGUGAUGGGAGGGGUCAAAUGUCUCCCUGGUUUUAGCAACGAAACCAAGGAGUUGAAAUUUUCCCGAAAUUAAUAUACAUUUGUUAUUGCAGUAGUGGUAGGUCACAAAGGAAAAUCGUUGUAUUACAGAAGAUGUUUUAUUUCGGAAUAUUAUCUUCAUUAAAGGGUCCAUAUAGGACUGACAUUCAUCAGAAAAUUUUACACACUGAAUUUUCGACAAAUUCUUGACAAAGUCAAAUAAAUCAUUUUAGCUGCCUUUUUUUUUUUUUUUUUUUGAAAAUGAGUACUCGAUGAAGGUUUUAAGAUUGCCAAUUUCUGUCAGUAUACCCAACAAAGAAUGUGAUACAAUUUUUAAAAAGCCAAAUUGACAUUUUUCGUAAAUUUACUUAAAUUUUGGCUAGCAGUUUUUUAGCCAAUUCUUUGAAAAACCAUCGAAUUAUCGUACAAAAUUACUUUUUAAUUGUAUUUUGCUUCUUUAAACAAAAAAUGAAUGAUUGUAAUUCUCUCAGUAUAAGAUAUUUAUACAAAAGUGUGUAGAUCAACGCUCUGUUAAAGGUUGGCCAUGUGCCUUGUAUUUUUUUAGUUGACUUUUUGGUCGCAAUCAAAGAGUGAUUGAAGAAUAACUCCUUAUCGGAUGUCAGUCUUGCAUGUCCUGUCGACUUAUAAUGCUGAAUGUCACUUGAUCACUGAACACUGGAGACCAGUCUUAAGUUUAUUAGCAUUGUCUUAGUAAAUGUGCAUUUGCAUAAUCUUUUUUUCCGUUCUUCUUUGCACAUUAUUCUUUAAAAUAGCUAUGGUUGAAAUAAGCUUGUAAGUUGGUCAUGUCAUUAUGACGUUCCUGAUUCGCAUGCUGUACAAAUUUCAGUUUUCGCUCAAAGUUGUGCCAUGAAAUGCAUAUUUAAGCAAUUCGUAUGAAAAAA